GCACGCCAUCCCGUCCGAUCUGGCAAGUUAAGCAACGCUGAGCUUCCUUAGUACUUGGAACGGAGACGUCCUGGGAAUCGGGGGUGUCGUAAUCUU
This is a non-coding RNA of Meloidogyne enterolobii, 96 nucleotides long. Lineage: Eukaryota; Metazoa; Nematoda; Chromadorea; Rhabditida; Meloidogynidae. The record is from the annotation of a GenBank genome assembly.